CGACGCCGCGUGGAGGAUGAAGGGUCUAGGCCUGUAAACUCCUUUUUAUGGGGAAAGACUUAGGACGGUACCCCAUGAAUAAGGACCGGCUAACUACGUGC
Molecule: ribosomal RNA, 101 nt
Filed under: uncultured bacterium
Lineage: Bacteria
Description: partial 16S ribosomal RNA
Rfam family: Bacterial small subunit ribosomal RNA
Source: RNAcentral